UACGUAGGGUACAAGCGUUGUCCGGAUUAUUGGGCGUAAAGAGCUCGUAGGCGGUUGUCGCGUCUGCCGUGGAAGUCCGGGACUCAACUCCGGUAUCUGCGGUGGUACGGGCAGACUAGAGUGAUGUAGGGGAGACUGGAAUUCCUGGUGUAGCGGUGAAAUGCGCAGAUAUCAGGAGGAACACCGAUGGCAAGGGCAGGUCUCGUGGGCAUUAACUGACGCUGAGGAGCGAAAGCAUGGGGAGCGAACAGG
This 252-nucleotide ribosomal RNA is filed under the name uncultured bacterium. Its description in RNAcentral is "partial 16S ribosomal RNA". It matches the Rfam family "Bacterial small subunit ribosomal RNA", at positions 524 to 776 of the family's 1533-position model. The record is from RNAcentral.